This 254-nucleotide ribosomal RNA is filed under the name uncultured bacterium. RNAcentral describes it as "partial 16S ribosomal RNA". It matches the Rfam family "Bacterial small subunit ribosomal RNA", at positions 524 to 776 of the family's 1533-position model. The record is from RNAcentral.
UACAGAGGUCCCAAGCGUUGUUCGGAUUCACUGGGCGUAAAGGGUGCGUAGGUGGCUACUUUAAGUUUGAUGUGAAAGCUCCGGGCUCAACCCGGAAAUGGCAUUGAAGACUAUUGAGCUAGAGGUUUGGAGGGGGGACUGGAAUGCUUGGUGUAGCAGUGAAAUGCGUAGAUAUCAAGCGGAACACCGGUGGCGAAGGCGAGUCCCUGGACAACACCUGACACUGAGGCACGAAAGCUAGGGGAGCGAACGGG